CCUCUUCGAUCUGCUGUGGGCAGAUGAAGUGGAUAUGCGAGUCGAUGCCGCCCGCGGUGAGGAUCAUGCCUUCGCCGGCGAUGACUUCCGUCGCCGCGCCGAUGGCGAUGGUCACGUCGGGCUGAAUGUCCGGGUUACCCGCCUUGCCGAUGGCAGCGAUGCGGCCAUCCUUCAAACCCACGUCAGCCUUGACGAUGCCCCAGUGGUCGAGGAUCAGCGCGUUGGUGAUCAGCGUAUCGACCACAUCCGCAGCGCACAGCUGGCCCUGGCCCAUGCCAUCGCGG
RNAcentral lists this small RNA (284 nucleotides) under Pseudomonas sp. 9Ag. Its description in RNAcentral is "5_ureB_sRNA". It matches the Rfam family "5' ureB small RNA". Lineage: Bacteria; Pseudomonadati; Pseudomonadota; Gammaproteobacteria; Pseudomonadales; Pseudomonadaceae. The record is from RNAcentral.